Molecule: ribosomal RNA, 460 nt
Filed under: uncultured bacterium
Lineage: Bacteria
Description: partial 16S ribosomal RNA
Rfam family: Bacterial small subunit ribosomal RNA
Source: RNAcentral
CCUACGGGAGGCAGCAGUGAGGAAUAUUGGUCAAUGGACGAGAGUCUGAACCAGCCAAGUAGCGUGAAGGAUGACUGCCCUAUGGGUUGUAAACUUCUUUUAUAUGGGAAUAAAAUGUUCCACGUGUGGGAUUUUGUAUGUACCAUAUGACUAAGUAUCGGCUAACUCCGUGCCAGCAGCCGCGGUAAUACGGCGGAUCCGAGCGUUAUCCGGAUUUAUUGGGUUUAAAGGGAGCGUAGGUGGAUUGUUAAGUCAGUUGUGAAAGUUUGCGGCUCAACCGUAAAAUUGCAGUUGAAACUGGCAGUCGUGAGUACAGUAGAGGUGGGCGGAAUUCGUGGUGUAGCGGUGAAAUGCUUAGAUAUCACGAAGAACUCCGAUUGCGAAGGCAGCUCACUGGACUGCAACUGACACUGAGGCUCGAAAGUGUGGGUAUCAAACAGGAUUAGAUACCCCUGUAGUC